Biomphalaria glabrata is the source of this 1298-nucleotide long non-coding RNA. RefSeq lists it as uncharacterized. The transcript has 3 exons. NCBI's taxonomy places the organism in Eukaryota, Metazoa, Mollusca, Gastropoda, Planorbidae. The record is from RefSeq and is a predicted model, not a curated record.
CCUAACUUUCUAGAUUUAGAUCUACUCCUUUCCCUCCACACUUAGAUCUAUAAUCACCAUCAGCCACUGUCCAUAAAAUUUUGCUUAAAAUCUAGAUAGAUUUAGAUCUAAUUCUUUCCCUCCACAAUCACCACGAGCCUCAGACCCAUGAAGUUUGCUUAUUUAAAAUCUACUUAGAUUUAGUUUAGAUAUUAAGAGUAGAUCUAAUCCUUUCCCGCCACAAUCUUAAAUUCAAAUUUGAUCUAAUUCUCUAAACAGCAUCGUACUAUUUCUAAAUCUGUAUUCGAAAAGGCACAAUAAGGCUUGUCUUCGAGUCCGUAGAUUAAUGAGGAAUGCAGUAUUUCGAAAAGGCAUUUAAGUUAUCUGCGAUUUUAGGCCAAAUUUGUCAGUGCUACGUAGAUCUAGAUCUAUGUCUUGAGAGCUCUAAGCUAUAGCUGUGUUGCUUACGGACAAUGUGUGUCUAUAUGGUUUUGCCUACUCGUAUUGAUUGAGACCAGCCAGUUGGACCGAAAAUAGAUGAUAAUCUAGUAGUUUUAUGUUUAUAAAUCUUUUAAUCUUGACCGCUUGAAUAACAAGUCAUAUGGCUGAUUUCAAAAUAUAUAAACAGUCUUCGUACAUCAAACUAACAGCCUUCUGACUCUCUUUCUCUCUCAUGCUCGUAAGCAGUGGCGUCACUAGGGGGUGAGGGCCGCACCGGGUGACACUCGUUAGGGGGUGACACCCAAAUGGGGAAAAUAUGCACUUUUGCAAAAGACUUUUGAAAAUAUAUGGAAGCACUACAUGUUAAGUGGCUUUCUGGCAGAAAUUAAUUGAUUUGAAGGUGUAAAAAAACUGACUAGAAUUGACUUCUUAAGAAUUCAGAUGGGUGCACGAAGCCUACAUGUUCAGUCAUCAAUUUCUGAUAAACCUAGGCUAGCCUACUACAACUGUACUUCAGUCACCAUUGGAAGCACUACUUGUUUAGUUGCUACUUCGAUUUUAAUUGAUCUGACGAUGCAAACAAAAUGGCUAGAUUUUGGCUACUCAGAAUCCAGGGGGGUGCAAUUAAGUGCAUCACCUUGCACCUAUCUGCGUGCGCCCAUGAAACCAACAUAGGUUUAUAUCCAGCACCUUUAGAGUAACCUUCAAUGACCUCACAAUAUAGCCCAGCAUAGCUAAACAUGAAGUGGAAAUAAAGCAAAACAUUUUAUGUAUCUGGUCAAUCUCAUGACCACAACACUGAUUUGAUUUGUUGAUUUGAGGCACAUCGGCACAAUUUAGGCCAUGUCGUGCCUGCAGUCCCUUAAGGACUACUCUCU